This 73-nucleotide small RNA is filed under the name Gallionellaceae bacterium. RNAcentral describes it as "sX9 sRNA". It matches the Rfam family "Xanthomonas sRNA sX9". The record is from RNAcentral. Lineage: Bacteria; Pseudomonadati; Pseudomonadota; Betaproteobacteria; Nitrosomonadales; Gallionellaceae.
AUGUAUUUUGUGUACAUUCCGGUUCUUCCGCGCCGUGCGCCUUGCCAUGCGGUCGCUCGCUACGAUUUGUGCC